GUUUUUUUUCCCUCCUUCUGCUACUUGGAUUUUUUUAGCUGCUGCGUCAUGAGCAUAAUUUAUGCAAAGAGCUUUGCCGCAUGCUGCACCGCGCGCGCCAGCCGCCGGGGGCGGCGGGCUGGGCGGGCCGGCAGGGAAGGGAGGGGAUCUAGGGAACCGAGAACUAGCGAUGGUGGGGGCACCCCAGCCCCUUGCCACCCCCGCUCUCAGAGGCCCCACAGACUAGUUCCCCGGACUGGAGUGGAAAGUCGAUGGGGUGGGUCACGCAGCCCCGCUCCGAGAAGCAUCCUGAGGUCGUUUCAUUUUGGAAGUGGUCAUGUAUGGAUGUGAGAGUUGGACUAUAAAGAAAGCUGAGCACCGAAGAGUUGAUACUUUUGAACUGUAGUGUUGGAGAAGACUCUUGAGAGUCCCUUGGACUGCAAGGAGAUCCAACCAGUCCAUCCUAGAGGAGAUCAGUCCUGGGUGUUCAUUGGAAGGACUGAUGUUGAAGCUGAAAUUCCAAUACUUUGGCCACCUGAUGUGAAGAGUUGACUCAUUCGAAAAGACCCUGAUGCUGGGAAAGACUGAAGGCAGGAGGAGAAGGGGACGACAGAGGAUGAGAUGGUUG
Molecule: long non-coding RNA, 607 nt
Organism: Bos taurus (domestic cattle)
Lineage: Eukaryota; Metazoa; Chordata; Mammalia; Artiodactyla; Bovidae
Source: Ensembl